RNAcentral lists this ribosomal RNA (367 nucleotides) under uncultured organism. RNAcentral's name for it is "bacterial LSU rRNA". It matches the Rfam family "Bacterial large subunit ribosomal RNA", at positions 2099 to 2465 of the family's 2925-position model. The record is from RNAcentral.
CUUUACUGUAGCUUGGUAUUGUGCCCGGGCUCUGAAUGCGCAGGAUAGGUGGGAGGCUUUGAUCCAUUGUUUGUGGGUGAUGGUGAGCUAACGGUGAGAUAUCACUCUUUCAGAGCUAGGGUUUUAACGGUCAUCCGUCAUCCGGGGACCGGACAGUAUCAGGUGGGCAGUUUGACUGGGGCGGUCGUCUCCUAAAAGGUAACGGAGGCGCGCAAAGGUUCUCUCAGGCUGGUUGGAAAUCAGCCAACGAGUGUAAAGGCAGAAGGGAGCUUGACUGUGAGACCUACAAGUCGAACAGGGACGAAAGUCGGCCUUAGUGAUCCGACGGUUCUGUGUGGAAGGGCCGUCGCUCAACGGAUAAAAGUUA